AUUGAACGCUGGCGGCAUGCCUUACACAUGCAAGUCGAACGGCAGCAUAGAGAGCUUGCUCUCUGAUGGCGAGUGGCGAACGGGUGAGUAAAGCAUCGGAACGUACCGUGUAGUGGGGGAUAACGUAGCGAAAGUUACGCUAAUACCGCAUACGCACUGAGGUGGAAAGCAGGGGAUCGCAAGACCUUGCGCUAUACGAGCGGCCGAUGUCAGAUGAGCUAGUUGGUAGGGUAAAGGCCUACCAAGGCGACGAUCUGUAGCGGGUCUGAGAGGAUGAUCCGCCACACUGGGACUGAGACACGGCCCAGACUCCUACGGGAGGCAGCAGUGGGGAAUUUUGGACAAUGGGGGCAACCCUGAUCCAGCCAUGCCGCGUGAGUGAAGAAGGCCUUCGGGUUGUAAAGCUCUUUCGGCCGGGAAGAAAUCGCACAGGCUAAUACUCUGUGUGGAUGACGGUACCGGCAUAAGAAGCACCGGCUAACUACGUGCCAGCAGCCGCAGUAA
This 504-nucleotide ribosomal RNA is filed under the name uncultured bacterium. Its description in RNAcentral is "partial 16S ribosomal RNA". It matches the Rfam family "Bacterial small subunit ribosomal RNA", at positions 30 to 523 of the family's 1533-position model. The record is from RNAcentral.